CAGCCGCCGCGGUAAUACGUAGGGUGCAAGCGUUAAUCGGAAUUACUGGGCGUAAAGCGUGCGCAGGCGGUUUGUUAAGACAGAUGUGAAAUCCCCGGGCUCAACCUGGGAACUGCAUUUGUGACUGGCAAGCUAGAGUGUGGCAGAGGGGGGUGGAAUUCCGCGUGUAGCAGUGAAAUGCGUAGAUAUGCGGAGGAACACCGAUGGCGAAGGCAGCCCCCUGGGCCAACACUGACGCUCAUGCACGAAAGCGUGGGGAGCAAACAGGAUUAGAUACCCGAGUAGUCCCUGUCUCUUAUAC
This 301-nucleotide ribosomal RNA is filed under the name uncultured bacterium. Its description in RNAcentral is "partial 16S ribosomal RNA". It matches the Rfam family "Bacterial small subunit ribosomal RNA", at positions 509 to 807 of the family's 1533-position model. The record is from RNAcentral.